AACGAACGCUGGCGGCAUGCCUAACACAUGCAAGUCGAACGAGACCUUCGGGUCUAGUGGCGCACGGGUGCGUAACGCGUGGGAACCUGCCCUUAGGUUCGGAAUAACUCCCCGAAAGGGGUGCUAAUACCGGAUAAUGUCUUCGGACCAAGAUUUAUCGCCUUUGGGUGGGCCCGCGUUGGGUUAGCUUGUUGGUAGGGUAAAAGCCUACCAAGGCGACGGUCCAUAGCUGGGCUGAGAGGAUGGUCAGCCACACCGGGACUGAGACACGGCCCAGACUCCUACGGGAGGCAGCAGUGGGGAAUAUUGGACAAUGGGCGCAAGCCUGAUCCAGCAAUGCCGCGUGAGUGAUGAAGGCCUUAGGGUUGUAAAGCUCUUUUACCCGGGAUGAUAAUGACAGUACCGGGAGAAUAAGCUCCGGCUAACUCCGUG
Molecule: ribosomal RNA, 432 nt
Filed under: uncultured bacterium
Lineage: Bacteria
Description: partial 16S ribosomal RNA
Rfam family: Bacterial small subunit ribosomal RNA
Source: RNAcentral